RNAcentral lists this long non-coding RNA (524 nucleotides) under Nicotiana benthamiana. RNAcentral's name for it is "long non-coding RNA (NBEN_LNC008243)". The record is from RNAcentral. Lineage: Eukaryota; Viridiplantae; Streptophyta; Magnoliopsida; Solanales; Solanaceae.
UCUAGUGAACUAAAUUUAACAAUAUAAUAGCCCUCAUCAUGAUAAAAUAGCUCAGGCUCAGGAACAUGAGACCAGUGAAGAUUAAUAAAUCUUUGCAUUCCAUUAUACCCAGGGCUAUUACCUAGCACAAAUACCACAAGGGCACAUUUUCAUUUCACUUCUUCCUCCUCCACUUCUUCCUUCACCAGCUGACCAACUGGUUUGCCAUUAACAAGUGUAGGGGGAAUAUACUCUAACGACAUACCAUUUGCAGCAAGUCGGUUACUCUGGAAAAGACUAGCCCACUGUUUGGGUGGAUCUGAUUUUGGACCUUCAUCACAAACAGCCUUUGGAACAUCAAUUGGUGGUGGUUGUUGCAUGCAGAUCUGAACUCUAUUCUCAAGCUCCAUCGGAACAAUUACUGGAUUGAUGGGAGGCUCUGUAAUCCUCACAUUUGCUGUUGGUAUCAAGGAGACUCCAGAUGAUUGUGGAUCUAUUACUGCAUGAGGCAAUGGAACAGUUAUCUCAGCUGAUUUCAAUGGAAC